CCUACGGGUGGCAGCAGUCGAGAAUCAUUCACAAUGGGGGAAACCCUGAUGGUGCGACGCCGCGUGGGGGAAUGAAGGUCUUCGGAUUGUAAACCCCUGUCAUGUGGGAGCAAAUUAAAAAGAUAGUACCACAAGAGGAAGAGACGGCUAACUCUGUGCCAGCAGCCGCGGUAAUACAGAGGUCUCAAGCGUUGUUCGGAAUCACUGGGCGUAAAGCGUGCGUAGGCUGUUUCGUAAGUCGUGUGUGAAAGGCGCGGGCUCAACCCGCGGACGGCACAUGAUACUGCGAGACUAGAGUAAGGGAGGGGGAACCGGAAUUCUCGGUGUAGCAGUGAAAUGCGUAGAUAUCGAGAGGAACACUCGUGGCGGAGGCGGGUUCCUGGACAUUAACUGACGCUGAGGCACGAAGGCCAGGGGAGCGAAAGGGAUUAGAUACCCUUGUAGUC
This 446-nucleotide ribosomal RNA is filed under the name uncultured bacterium. RNAcentral describes it as "partial 16S ribosomal RNA". It matches the Rfam family "Bacterial small subunit ribosomal RNA", at positions 338 to 795 of the family's 1533-position model. The record is from RNAcentral.